CAGAUGGUGCAUUCACGGUUGAAACCGGCCUGCUUGUGGGCCUUGAGGACAUCUUCAGAACGACGCAGAACGGACGAGGACGCCUGUACCUUUUCAUGACGUCCUCACGACAUCCUCAGAACGACACAGAACGGACGAGGACGUUUGUAUCUUUUGAGGACAUACUCAGGAUGUCGCGUGUUGUCUGGGUGACAAAUGUGAGCUCAAGCAAAAUUAGGAACAAGGUACACUGUCUGCAGAUUCAUCAGCCGGUGGAACUGCCUAAGCCAGCUCCCUGAAUCAUGAAGUGACCAAUGUGUGAUAUUAUAUUCACAAAGCAAAUCUCUACAAGGUGCCUUAGGGACAUUUUGCUUAUGUAGCUGUGUUAUUGAUUUGAUUUAUUAAAAACUGUUUGAAACCUUUG
Long non-coding RNA from Dermacentor andersoni, 403 nucleotides. RefSeq lists it as uncharacterized. NCBI's taxonomy places the organism in Eukaryota, Metazoa, Arthropoda, Arachnida, Ixodida, Ixodidae. The record is from RefSeq and is a predicted model, not a curated record.